GAAAUGCGAUAAUUAAUGUGAAUUGCAGAAUUCAGUGAAUCAUCGAGUCUUUGAUCGCACAUUGCGCCCCCUGGUAUUCCGGGGGCAUGCCUGUCCGAGCGUCAUUGCUGCCCUCAAGCACGGCUUGUGUGUUGGGCUUCCGUCCCUGGCAACGGGGACGGGCCCAAAAGGCAGUGGCGGCACCAUGUCUGGUCCUCGAGCGUAUGGGGCUUUGUCACCCGCUCCCGUAGGUCCAGCUGGCAGCUAGCCUCGCAACCAAUCUUUUUAACCAGGUUGACCUCGGAUCAGGUAGGGAUACCCGCUGAACUUAAGC
Molecule: unclassified non-coding RNA, 313 nt
Filed under: plant metagenome
Description: partial contains 5.8S ribosomal RNA, internal transcribed spacer 2, and large subunit ribosomal RNA
Rfam family: 5.8S ribosomal RNA (bases 1-104)
Source: RNAcentral